Molecule: long non-coding RNA, 2497 nt
Organism: Poeciliopsis prolifica (blackstripe livebearer)
Lineage: Eukaryota; Metazoa; Chordata; Actinopteri; Cyprinodontiformes; Poeciliidae
Exons: 5
Source: RefSeq, a predicted model, not a curated record
CUUGAAGAGGGGAGAAGGGUGGGAGGAGAGUGGUCUUUUUGAAAACUGCAUCGAUGCACUAAUGCACUGAAAUCUGAGCUCUUAUUGGAUCUGAAGGGCAGCCUGAGACAGCCAUCCUCCAGCAUCUACCCCUGUUUAAAGGGAUUGCUUUCAUUCAGAGAAGGAGAGGCGAAAAAGCCUUCCAGCAGAGCCCAGUCCGGCUCAGCUCGUCUCCCCGUGUGCCCGUCUUGCCUCGUCUCUGCUGAGGCCAGCUGACCGGUCCUUUCGGGCUGACCAGCCACCAGCCAGACCGGCGGCUCUCCUGUACCGGCGCUGUUGGACCGUGAUGCAGGCGGGAGCAGCCGACUGCCAAGUGGCCUCUGACAUUUGCUGUGGAGAAGAGGGGAUGUGCUCUGCCCUCUUGUUCCGCUGCGAUCAAGCUUCAGGGUCCUGACCUGCCUCUGAAAGGAAACAGUCAAGUCAGAUCGUGUCCGUAAACUACAGAGCGGCCCCUGAUGUGGAUCCUCCUUUGGGAAGUCAUUUGUCACCAAUUCCCAGGAGGACUAAGACAUUACAGUGGUGGAAUAUAACCUUCUAUAUAACACAUCAUCAUCGCCACUUCAAGCUUCUACACCACGCCUUAAAGUCAUGUGAUUUAAUUCUAAACACUGCAGACUGAUUUAGUACAUCAUUUGACCAAUUGUCAUCUGUUUAACAAAUCUUAAAGAUGAAUAAAUUGGACACUUCCUUGAACUGUUUGAAGUUCAGAAGAAUGAUUUUUGUUGUGUCUGGAAAACAAGAACAAACAGUUUUGUGAAAUGUCUUCUUUAAAAGGCAAAUCCAAAUGUCAGAGAGACAGAUACACUGAAAGCGCUGCCUUUUGGGCGUCGAGCAGAAAAACUUCAGAAUAAUAUUUUUUUCCCAGUUGGAACGAACUGCAAUUACCCAUCAUGAAACAUAAAGCAGAGUGUUUGCACUUUCAUAGCCUGAGGAGGAACAUGGUCUCUGUUUGCCAAAACACACAAAGGAGACUCAGGAAAAGCAAUGAAGGAGUGUUAUUGAGAUCAGAUUUACUAAAUUUAUGUUGCUGUCAUUAGUCAGAUAAUAAAAUCUGCUGACAACUUAUUUAUAAACUACUGUGUAUAAAGGAGUAGUUCCAAAUUCUGAGGUUUAAUUUUUUCCAACAUAAUGGUAAACAUAUAACACAACGUGAGAUAUGAAAAUCUUUGUUAAUCUCUAUGAAUUUUUUAGACAAAAAGUGGCUCAAAAGUAACAUGAAUAAAAUUAAACAUUCCAUCCUAUUUUAUGUUUUUUUCCUUUUCUGAUUCAUGACACAACAGAGGAAUAUGUACAACGUUGUAAUUAAAUGGAAGGGAAAAUAUUGAGGUUAUCAUUUAGGUUCAUUAAAAUACUAACAUACGUUUUAUUCCGAGCUUCUCUAAGAAGUUGACAUAAAGGCUGAAGGUGCCGUAACACAGAGCUACACCCUGCUUGACUGGUUUGAUAGUUUUUCUUUUCUUGUUUUGAAAAAUGGGUUUACAAAUCCAAUAUUUCAUAAGCCCAUAUAACUUUGAAGUGUUUUAUUUCAUUUGACUUUUGUGUAUGCAACCAACAAACAAUGUGAAAAUACUCAUGUCAUAAUUUAACCCUUGACUGUGACCACGUUAAACGCAGCAGCAGUGAGCCUUAAGUGCACACUGCACACCUACUUAUUUGUUUUUGAUAUUUUUCUAUUACUGUCUCACGGUGCCACAUGCAGGCCUGGUUAAUUACUGGCUUUGUUCUUGCUAAGUAUUUUUGAAAGGACAAAUAAAUGAAUGAUUAUUUUAGAAAAACUCUCCAGGAAGAAGUUUGUGGACAUAGACUUUAAUGCUUCAAACUUGACCUGUGAAACAAGUCUGAAUGUUUGUGCCUGUUUUUAAAAUGUAAAACAUAAUGUCUGACUAUUGGUAUUUAUUUACUGGUUUAUAAUCUUUCUGUAUCUCCUGUAUGUAAGAGCCACAUAUUUUUUUGAAGUACUGGUCAGCGAGGAAGACCGCAAGCUAAAUAAUCAAAUAUAAAAAGUUCUAAUGUUCACAGCUCUUUAUAUAACUAAGUCUGUGCACUAAUACAGAAUUACAAAUGAGUUCAAUAUUGCAUCCAUGACAAUGAUUUUUUUUUUCCUAACUUGUGAAACAAUGAUCUCGUGUGGGUUUACAUCAAUCCCCGGCUGAAUGUCUGUCAUUUCAGUUUAGUUUUUAUAAAGUAAUUGUCAUAAUUCUUGAUGUUUGUCCUUUAUAACAGUAAUGCAGUUUAUGAAUUAUGAUACAUCUUUGAAUAAUUUACCAUUUAAGGGAAUUUGCACUGGACACGUUUAUUUCUUUUGUUGGCUGGAAGUAAACAAGUUAAUCUGCUUAAAAUUUGUUAGAUCAUUUCAUGAAUAAAUGAUGAAAAUCCCAUAUAUUUAUCCUGAAUCAGUUAGAAAGGGUUCAGUCUGAAUUUGGAGGAAAUUUCUUCAGAAAAGUGAAAAUCUCUGGGU